GUCCUCAGCAAAAUCGCUUCCAGGGCUUGAAAGAUUAAUAGCAUUUCGCUUUCAGGCUUCUUCUCCCCAUCCAGCAGCUUGAAAAUUUCAGCACACUCCACCGAAAUCCUUAUGUAUCCCUCCACGACAUCGUAUAUUCCGGCGGACGGCAGCGUCUUCGCCGUGGAGAUGAAGGUCUCCAGACCCUUCCCGGCAGUGGCAGGGUCCCGCAGCAGCGUCUUGAAGCGGGCGCCAUUGAACUCCCCUUCCUCGCUGCGGGCUCGCUUGGCCGCCGGCGGGCCGGUCGCGGCCACACCGCGCCGCUUGGCCGCCA
Molecule: long non-coding RNA, 313 nt
Filed under: Gallus gallus (chicken)
Lineage: Eukaryota; Metazoa; Chordata; Aves; Galliformes; Phasianidae
Source: RNAcentral